UACGUGGGGAGCAAGCGUUGUUCGGAUUUACUGGGCGUAAAGGGCGCGUAGGCGGCGUAACAAGUCACUUGUGAAAUCUCCGGGCUUAACCCGGAGCGGCCAAGUGAUACUGUUGUGCUAGAGUGCAGAAGGGGCAACUGGAAUUCUCGGUGUAGCGGUGAAAUGCGUAGAUAUCGAGAGGAACACCUGCGGCGAAGGCGAGUUGCUGGGCUGACACUGACGCUGAGGCACGAAAGCCAGGGGAGCGAACGGG
RNAcentral lists this ribosomal RNA (253 nucleotides) under uncultured bacterium. Its description in RNAcentral is "partial 16S ribosomal RNA". It matches the Rfam family "Bacterial small subunit ribosomal RNA", at positions 524 to 776 of the family's 1533-position model. The record is from RNAcentral.